CACGUAGGGCGCAAGCGUUGUCCGGAAUUAUUGGGCGUAAAGAGCUCGUAGGCGGUCUGUUGCGUCCGCUGUGAAAACUCGGGGCUUAACCCCGAGCCUGCAGUGGAUACGGGCAGACUAGAGGUAGGUAGGGGAGAAUGGAAUUCCCGGUGUAGUGGUGAAAUGCGUAGAUAUCGGGAGGAACACCAGUGGCGAAGGCGACUUCCUGGCCUGUUCUUGACGCUGAGGCGCGAAAGCUAGGGUAGCAAACGGG
This 253-nucleotide ribosomal RNA is filed under the name uncultured bacterium. Its description in RNAcentral is "partial 16S ribosomal RNA". It matches the Rfam family "Bacterial small subunit ribosomal RNA", at positions 524 to 776 of the family's 1533-position model. The record is from RNAcentral.